AGCGGAGGCCGUUCUAUCGCUCGGCCCCGUAAAAGGGGACUGAGAGGAAAGUCCGGGCAGCACGAGCCACCAUGCUUCCUAACGGGAAGGGGCCAUUACGGGUAACCGUGUGGCCACAGCGAGCGCCACAGAAAAGAAACCGCCUUUCGAGAGGUGAAAGGUUAUUGGUUAUAGGUUAUGGGUUAUAGUCACUGCCGCAUACAUGUGGAUGUAUCAGUUUCGCCCAACCUCCGUAACCUAUAACCAAUAACCCAUAACCCUUGAUGGGUAAGGGUGAAAACGCGGGGUAAGAGCCCACGACGUGUUCUGGUGACGGGCACGAUGGCAAGCCUCAUGGGCUGAAAGACCAUGUAUACCAGCCGGUCGGGCGACCGAGGGCAGGCUCGCCCUCAAAAGACGAGAGUACUUCCGUCCAAGGUUGGAGGGUGGGUUGAUUGAGACCGUCGGUGACGGCGGCCCUAGAUUAAUGAUAGAACACGACAGAACCCGGCUUACAGACCUUCGCUUUUU
Molecule: RNase P RNA, 510 nt
Filed under: Bacteroidales bacterium
Lineage: Bacteria; Pseudomonadati; Bacteroidota; Bacteroidia; Bacteroidales
Description: RNase P RNA component class A
Rfam family: Bacterial RNase P class A
About the family: Ribonuclease P (RNase P) is a ubiquitous endoribonuclease, found in archaea, bacteria and eukarya as well as chloroplasts and mitochondria. Its best characterised activity is the generation of mature 5'-ends of tRNAs by cleaving the 5'-leader elements of precursor-tRNAs.
Source: RNAcentral